Molecule: small nuclear RNA, 107 nt
Organism: Jaculus jaculus (lesser Egyptian jerboa)
Lineage: Eukaryota; Metazoa; Chordata; Mammalia; Rodentia; Dipodidae
Source: Ensembl
GGGCUCACUUUGGUAGCACAUGUACUAAAAUUGGAAUGGCACAGAGAGAGUUAACUUGGCCCCUUUGUAAGCAUGACACACAAAUUCAUGAAGUGUCCCAUGCCUUA